GACGAACGCUGGCGGCGUGCUUAACACAUGCAAGUCGAACGGAAAGGCCCUGCUUUUGUGGGGUGCUCGAGUGGCGAACGGGUGAGUAACACGUGAGAACCUGCCCUUGACUUUGGGAUAACUUCAGGAAACUAGGGCUAAUACCGGAUAGGAGCUCCUGCUGCAUGGUUGGGGUUGGAAAGUUUCGGCGGUUGGGGAUGGACUCGCGGCUUAUCAGCUUGGUGGUGGGGGUGUGGCUUACCAAGGCUUUGACGGGUAGCCGGCCUGAGAGGGUGACCGGCCACAUUGGGACUGAGAUACGGCCCAGACUCCUACGGGAGGCAGCAGUGGGGAAUAUUGCACAAUGGGCGGAAGCCUGAUGCAGCAACGCCGCGUGCGGGAUGACGGCCUUCGGGUUGUAAACCGCUUUCGCCUGUGACGAAGCGUGAGUGACGGUAAUGGGUAAAGAAGCACCGGCUAACUACGUG
This 467-nucleotide ribosomal RNA is filed under the name uncultured bacterium. Its description in RNAcentral is "partial 16S ribosomal RNA". It matches the Rfam family "Bacterial small subunit ribosomal RNA", at positions 28 to 507 of the family's 1533-position model. The record is from RNAcentral.